AUUGAACGCUGGCGGCAGGCCUAACACAUGCAAGUCGAACGGUAACAGGAAGCAGCUUGCUGCUUUGCUGACGAGUGGCGGACGGGUGAGUAAUGUCUGGGAAACUGCCUGAUGAGGGGGAUAACUACUGGAAACGGUAGCUAAUACCGCAUAACGUCGCAAGACCAAAGAGGGGGACCUUCGGGCCUCUUGCCAUCGGAUGUGCCCAGAUGGGAUUAGCUAGUAGGUGGGGUAACGGCUCACCUAGGCGACGAUCCCUAGCUGGUCUGAGAGGAUGACCAGCCACACUGGAACUGAGACACGGUCCAGACUCCUACGGGAGGCAGCAGUGGGGAAUAUUGCACAAUGGGCGCAAGCCUGAUGCAGCCAUGCCGCGUGUAUGAAGAAGGCCUUCGGGUUGUAAAGUACUUUCAGCGGGGAGGAAGGGAGUAAAGUUAAUACCUUUGCUCAUUGACGUUACCCGCAGAAGAAGCACCGGCUAACUCCGUG
This 489-nucleotide ribosomal RNA is filed under the name uncultured bacterium. Its description in RNAcentral is "partial 16S ribosomal RNA". It matches the Rfam family "Bacterial small subunit ribosomal RNA", at positions 30 to 507 of the family's 1533-position model. The record is from RNAcentral.